GUAUUUUCCUUGAUCUUUUUCUUCAAAUUUUUGAUGGCUCUUUUAUCAUGAUAUUCCACUAUGCACACAAGGAUCAAAACCAAAGUUCAUGAAUAAAUGCUUUAAAAUUACAAUGCAGCUGGAAAUCAGGAGCUCCAUGCUGAACAACUUUUGCACGUACUUCCUGUUAUGUAUUAAAUUGCUACACAACAUACAGCUAAUAACACAAAUCAUUAAGUAUGUUCCAGACACCUCUGAAUAUUUAAGAACUUGGAAUCCAGAUCUGGAUGUCUCAGUUUCUUAAUAUGUACUUAAUAAUUUUUCCAUUGAAUAUGUAUGUAAAUCUGCUAUCUUAAUAUAUAACUUGGACAGUGGGGAAUAAUAAGUAAUUAAAAGAAAAAUAAUCAAAUGAUAUGUCAAAUGAAUCUCUGCAGAGUGAAAGGAUCCCAUCAUCAAAAUACAUGCAAAGAAAGGAAGAGUGAAGGAAUUCAUAACACCAUGAGAGCUGCAUGGUCAACUUAUGUCACUUCUGUCACCCUGCUGAGUGCCAUGUAACACUGCCAAUGCUUGGAAGCACUGACUGCUGGCAUCUGCAAGAUGGAAGGACAGAAAGACCUGGACACAUUGACUACAUCUAAACUCUUAAACAAAAUUAGUCAGAGAAUUUUCCUGGAGACCAGCUGGCAUGAAAGAGCUUGAAUCUACACAGAUAAACUCUCUUGCCCUCCAAAUCAUGGUGGCCACAUCCAAAAUAUCUAUUGGAGAUGGUGCCUGACUUGGGUCAAUACCCAAGCUGUGCUUUGGUAUUGACCAAAUUCCAUGUCUGGAAGAGCAUUAGCAGUCUUGCACCAAAACCAUGCAAGGGACCAGUUUAGUGGUAUGGAUGGUUUCGGGCCCAUGCCUUGCUGGUCUUGUUUAGUUUAUUUAAUGUCAGAGGGAAACCUCAGAAAUUCUGCCAGGAGUCAACAGGAAACCCCUUCUGGCCUCAGCAACCAGAAGCUGCUGAGAAGUAUAAUCAUUAGGCUGUACACCUCCUUCACAUUUGGAUUUUUUUUCCUCAUGUUAUUUUUUACCAAAUGAGCGCUGAAAAUUUUUGAAAUCUCAUUGAGUAAUAAAAUUGGGUUGUUGCCUGCGCAAAA
Molecule: non-coding RNA, 1118 nt
Organism: Lonchura striata (white-rumped munia)
Lineage: Eukaryota; Metazoa; Chordata; Aves; Passeriformes; Estrildidae
Source: RefSeq, a predicted model, not a curated record